CAGGUUGGCCGGGUGGUUGCGGUCCUGUGACCAAGUCACAGGGUCGAGGAAAGUCCGCACUCCACAGGGCGCGAUGCCGGAUAACUUCCGGGGCGGAGCAAUCUGCCGGACUGGGCCACAGAAACAUACCGCUCCUCCGGGAGUAAGGGUGAAAUGGUGGUGUAAGAGACCACCGGCGCGGGCAGCAAUGUCCGCGGCCAGGCAACCCCCAUCGGGAGCAAAACCAAGCAGGGAUGAACUCCUCCGGGAGGGGAAGCGGCUCGUUUCCCUCGAAUCCCAGGUAGGUUGCGCCGAGAGCCAUCGAGAGAUGUCUCCCAGAUAGAUAAUCACCACCGGUUCAGGAAGGGAAGACGCCCACGUGGUGUAAACCGGCUCUGAACCGGCACAGAAUGCGGCUUACAGACCGGCCUGGGGA
Molecule: RNase P RNA, 415 nt
Filed under: Anaerolineales bacterium
Lineage: Bacteria; Bacillati; Chloroflexota; Anaerolineae; Anaerolineales
Description: RNase P RNA component class A
Rfam family: Bacterial RNase P class A
About the family: Ribonuclease P (RNase P) is a ubiquitous endoribonuclease, found in archaea, bacteria and eukarya as well as chloroplasts and mitochondria. Its best characterised activity is the generation of mature 5'-ends of tRNAs by cleaving the 5'-leader elements of precursor-tRNAs.
Source: RNAcentral